UGAGUACGAGAUGCUACGGCGUCGAAGCAGUCUAGGUCAUACUUCCAAGAAAAGCUUGCACUGUCAUAAACAAAGAAUGCCUGUACCAUAACCGACACAGGUGGGUAGGUAGAGUAUACUAAGGGGCGCGAGAUAACUCUCUCUAAGGAACUCGGCAAAAUGACUCCGUAACUUCGGGAGAAGGAGUGCCUUAUUUUUAAGGUUGCAAUAACAAGAUCCAAGCAACUGUUUACCAAAAACACAGGUCUCCGCUAAGUCGUAAGACGAUGUAUGGGGGCUGACGCCUGCCCAGUGCCAGAAGGUUAAAGAAGUUGGUUAGCAUUUGCGAAGCUGAUAACUGAAGCCCUGGUGAACGGCGGCCGUAACCAUAACGGUCCUAAGGUAGCGAAAUUCCUUGUCGGGUAAGUUCCGACCCGCACGAAAGGCGUAAUGAUUUGGAUACUGUCUCGGAGAGGGGCUCGGUGAAAUAGACUUGUCUGUGAAGAUGCGGACUACCUGCACCUGGACAGAAAGACCCUAUGAAGCUUUACUGUAACUUGAGAUUGAAAUUGGACUUUAUUUGCGCAGUAUAGGUGGGAGGCGUUGAGAAUAAUCUUGCGGGAUUAUCGGAGCCAUCAGUGAGAUACCACUCUUGUAAUGUUAGAUUUCUAACUUUGUAUCAUUAUCUGGUCAAAGAACAGUUUCAGGCGGGCAGUUUGACUGGGGCGGUCGCCUCCCAAAGGGUAACGGAGGCGCACAAAGGUUUCCUCUGAACGGGUAGAAAUCGUAUCUAGAGUGUAAAGGCAUAAGGAAGCUUGACUGUGAGACCUACAAGUCGAGCAGGGACGAAAGUCGGUCUUAGUGAUCUGACGGUGCUGAGUGGAAAGGCCGUCACUCAACGGAUAAAAGUUACUCUAGGAUAACAGGCUGAUCUCCCCCAAGAGUUCACAUCGACGGGGAGGUUUGGCACCUCGAUGUCGGCUCAUCGCAUCCUGGGGCGGUAGUACGUCCCAAGGGUUGGGCUGUUCGCCCAUGAAAGCGGUACGCGAGCUGGGUUCAGAACGUCGUGAGACAGUUCGGUCCAUAUCCGGUGUAGGCGUUAGAAUAUUGAAAGGAGCCUUCUCUAGUACGAGAGGACCGAGAAGGACAUACCUCUGGUGUGCCAGUUAUCGUGCCAACGGUAAACGCUGGGUAGCUAUGUAUGGAGUGGAUAACCGCUGAAAGCAUCUAAGUGGGAAGCCCACCUUAAGAUAAGUAUUCUC
RNAcentral lists this ribosomal RNA (1241 nucleotides) under metagenome. RNAcentral describes it as "bacterial LSU rRNA". It matches the Rfam family "Bacterial large subunit ribosomal RNA", at positions 1564 to 2815 of the family's 2925-position model. The record is from RNAcentral.